GGUACAUAAAAUAUUGCAAAUCAAAUUUGAGGGGAUGUUUCUGAAUUAUACUUUAUAACACUACCUCUCUUAAAAAUCAUCAAAAUCUAACCAGCUUCUGUGACGAGUAUCAAAAAUGAAGCUGUAAUGCAAACUUAUACUCAGAAUACAUUUUUACUGGUAUCAUGGGCAUCAAUUAAAGAGAUUAGUUUGCUACCUAGAUUUUCGUCGGGUGUCUCUCCUGCAAAUUGAAAGGGGAAUAUGCUACACUGACAUUCCAUGGAAAACCACAUCUCAACUAUUUGAUUGGUAGCCAAAGCCAUCGAGAUGACAUCAAAAUUUACAACGAUCAUGACACAUCCACGUUCAAUUUAUGCCAGCAAAGAUCCAACACGAACAAGUCAAUGCACUAGGAAAGUCAGUGAGAGAUCUCAUUUUUGCUGAUCCAAGUCAAUUGAACUCAACUUGGAUUAGUCACUUUCGACUUGUUAUUGCAAGUUUCUCCUGAAAAAAUCAGACAACUUGGAAGUGGCAGCACGUCCCCUCUCCAAACAGCGUAUGUAGUCGUCAACCGACAUUACACCAUGC
This 567-nucleotide unclassified non-coding RNA is filed under the name Hevea brasiliensis (rubber tree). Lineage: Eukaryota; Viridiplantae; Streptophyta; Magnoliopsida; Malpighiales; Euphorbiaceae. The record is from RNAcentral.